GGCUUCUUCGAGCUUCCUUUUGAGGCGCUUGAUCUCGGCUCGAUGGGUGGUCCUUAAUGGCACGACGGGAAUCUUCGGGCGUAGGCUCUCUGGGACUUUAUGCCUAAGGAUGUAUUCCGUUGAGGCAUAAUAAGUCUUCUCUUGCCCUUCCAACUCCUCUUCGGGCCAUAUUAGCUUCCGGGGAUGGCACAUAUCCCACAUCGACUUGACUAAUGCAACGGAGUCUUCG
RNAcentral lists this long non-coding RNA (229 nucleotides) under Eucalyptus grandis. RNAcentral describes it as "long non-coding RNA (EGRA_LNC002551)". The record is from RNAcentral. Lineage: Eukaryota; Viridiplantae; Streptophyta; Magnoliopsida; Myrtales; Myrtaceae.